CCUACGGGGCGCAGCAGUGAGGAAUAUUGGUCAAUGGACGAGAGUCUGAACCAGCCAAGUAGCGUGAAGGAUGACUGCCCUAUGGGUUGUAAACUUCUUUUAUAUGGGAAUAAAAUGUUCCACGUGUGGGAUUUUGUAUGUACCAUAUGAAUAAGGAUCGGCUAACUCCGUGCCAGCAGCCGCGGUAAUACGGAGGAUCCGAGCGUUAUCCGGAUUUAUUGGGUUUAAGGGGAGCGUAGGUGGAUUGUUAAGUCAGUUGUGAAAGUUUGCGGCUCAACCGUAAAAUUGCAGUUGAAACUGGCAGUCUUGAGUACAGUAGAGGUGGGCGGAAUUCGUGGUGUAGCGGUGAAAUGCUUAGAUAUCACGAAGAACUCCGAUUGCGAAGGCAGUUCACUGGACUGCAACUGACACUGAGGCUCGAAAGUGUGGGUAUCAAACAGGAUUAGAUACCCCAGUAGUC
This 460-nucleotide ribosomal RNA is filed under the name uncultured bacterium. Its description in RNAcentral is "partial 16S ribosomal RNA". It matches the Rfam family "Bacterial small subunit ribosomal RNA", at positions 338 to 795 of the family's 1533-position model. The record is from RNAcentral.